GGCCGGUUCUCGGGUGGCGCACCCUGGAAUCAGGCUCCCUCCUCUCUGGUUCGGGGUGUGUCACCCAAGAACCACC
Myotis brandtii (Brandt's bat) is the source of this 76-nucleotide non-coding RNA. Lineage: Eukaryota; Metazoa; Chordata; Mammalia; Chiroptera; Vespertilionidae. The record is from Rfam.